Molecule: long non-coding RNA, 560 nt
Organism: Triticum urartu
Lineage: Eukaryota; Viridiplantae; Streptophyta; Magnoliopsida; Poales; Poaceae
Source: RefSeq, a predicted model, not a curated record
AUUCAUUAAAAACACCCCACAGUGCCGUUUCUAACAAGGAAAAUGUCAAUAAUGUCGACUCUGGCAUUGAAUCUUCCCAUCAUACUGGGUGAUGAGCGCCACUUCAAGCCUGGAGAUGCAGCUUGUCAAAAGGUUGAUACAUGCAAGGACAGAAUUAUCGCUGCCCUGGACACACUAUGGCCUACAUCUUCAUGGGAGAGAAUUUUUGCUUCUAGGCAGGAAGCAGAUACAACUUUUCUUGGUGGGCGUGGUUUUGGAACAGCCAUGUCUUCUCUAAUUGAGUACUUGAGUUCAGAGUAUGGUUAUACUUUUGCUUAGGAUGGUCAACUAGACACUAAGAGAUAUGGUGAGCAAUAUGCUAGCAAAGGGGAAGAUGUUGACCUCAUGUUGCUCCCUGAGCAGAUACCUUCCUAUAGAGAUCUGGUAAGCUUGUGCUUCUUUUGAGUAAAAAAAUUCCAUCCAUUAGUGAAAUUUUGAAACAGGCCACCGUGGUGCUGUUGCUGUUCAAACAGGAGUAUGUGUACACAUAUUUGCAGGCGAAUGCUAUCCUAAGAUUGACU